Enhydra lutris kenyoni (northern sea otter) is the source of this 1098-nucleotide long non-coding RNA. RefSeq lists it as uncharacterized. NCBI's taxonomy places the organism in Eukaryota, Metazoa, Chordata, Mammalia, Carnivora, Mustelidae. The transcript has 3 exons. The record is from RefSeq and is a predicted model, not a curated record.
GCAUCCUGAUCCUGGACUUCAAGCUUCCAGAACGUGAGAACCUCCUCCCAAGUCGUCGCCAGAGGCCUCCCCAUGGUUUCUGGAAGCAUUAGCGACAGCAUGCCACUGACGAACGCCAAAAUCCCAACAACCAGCUAGAAGGAAUUAAAAGAACAAUACGACCCUUCUCAACAGAGCCUCCAACUCAGUUUCUGCUGUCCCUCCACUUCCAGCUGUGGUUCGCAAAGCCCUCCCCCGUUCCAUCUUUGCUCUCCUUUCCUGUCUGCCAGCUGGAUGUGGAGACCCAGGGGACCCUGGAGUUCGUGUGUUGAGGAUGGCGGUGCCUCGGUCAACCUCAAUCCCUGAAUGACCCGGUGAAGCCAAACACCCCCUCCCCUCCCAGCACCACUACCCAGGUAUACCCACAUCGGACUUUCUAUGGGCAAGAAUAAGUAUCUAUUCUGCGAAGUCCCUGGAACCUGAUGGAACUCGCCUCUAAUGAAGCAACGAAUGUCACCUUGUCAUCCUGAUCCCUGCGUGUUUGCUGGAUGACUCUGUUGACAGUAUCUGUUGUAGAUAGUGUUUACUGAAUGAAUUAAUGUAACCUGGAAAACACUGAUGGGUGCUGACACUGCCGUUUGGGGAGAAACUUCAUCAGAAGGAAGAAAUUUGUGGUUAAAUGUUAGUGCCCUGUUUCUAGAAAUCCCCAUCAGCUACUCUCCUGUUUUCCCCAUUAUCGCAGAGGCGUAAUCAUUAUAGGACUCAGAGGUUUUGGGGUUCCCCUAAAUCUUCACCAGCCAGCUCAAAGGCAGCUGCCAUCAACUCAACUACUGUACCUGUAAACUACUUGAAAAGACAAAACCAAAAAAAGGUGUGAAUGAAGUUCCCUCAAACUGGCAGCAACCCCCUGGUCCUGAGUAGUUUGACGGCAUUCGUGAUAGUUGUGCGUCAAUCAGUGGGAAACUUCAAUUGUAUAAAACAUUUGAUUCACCAUCCUUCAGAAUUAAGUGAAGUAUUACUAUAAAAAGUCACUGGUUAACUUAAAGAAAAUUUCAAACAAUAUGCAAAACUUAAAAUGCCUUGCUCUAAAUGGUGAGAUACUCUUAUAAUCCUAGAGAA